UUGCAUUAAGUAAGACCUUUUGCCACACCUAUGGAUAGUUGAGGCAAAAAGUUACUCUUUUGCCUCAUGCCAAUUUUAACUGUUGCAAUAAAUCAAAAUUUUACCACAUCGAUGUGGCAAUAUCUGAAAAUAAUAUAAUUAAUAAAAUGGUGAAAAUAACUAAAUGAAUGUAUAUCGAGUUUUUUUAAAAACGAAAAAUAUUGAAAAUGCCCCAAAAUUUGCCCACGCACCCAAAUUUUUCGCAUCUCCUCAUAAAUCUCUUAGAACCCCAGGAAACUGCUCUCAUCUUCUUCAAGAAAUGAUCUUCUUCCAACUUAAACAAAGACUCGUUUACUCGAAGCUAUACAUUCUUGAAUCACACAAAGAAAAGACUCAAAAUCUCUAAUUUUCUCACUCAGAAAUCAAAGAGAUCUAGACAACACUUCGGAUUAAUUUGGGGUUUUUUUUGUUUUCGUCGCUCUCCAAAGACCAUAGCAGGUACUUUUCUUUCUGAUGGUGCAAUUUGAAUCAGAGUUUCUUGUGACUGGUCUUUCAGCUUAUAAAGGAAACUUUUCUGUUUUAUACACAAUGCAAAAUCAACACAAGGGGGAGCAAGCAGGAAAGAAGGACUAUGAAUGGACAGUUGUGAUGAGAUUUAGAAUGGAAUAGGUCUAGUUUGAAGUAUGAAGUGAUGUUUUUCUUUUCCUUGGUGCUGUUUGUUUAAUUUGAUUAGCAGGAAAGCUGGGACUAGGAAUCGACGGUUGGGAAGAGAUUUAGAAUGGAAUUUUGAAGUAUGAAAAGUUUUUAAGAUUUUGAGUGAGGUUUUAAAUUCGGAAAUUGUGUAGAUUAAUUAAUUGAUUUUUUUCAUCGGGUAAAGAUGGAUUCACAUACUCUGCAACAUGUACUUUGACUUUGUAAUGAAAUUCGAAUUUUAUGUUUUAA
Molecule: long non-coding RNA, 921 nt
Organism: Papaver somniferum (opium poppy)
Lineage: Eukaryota; Viridiplantae; Streptophyta; Magnoliopsida; Ranunculales; Papaveraceae
Exons: 5
Source: RefSeq, a predicted model, not a curated record